UCCAUUUCCUAUAUAUAGUAUGAAAAAUGAAAAAAAAAAACAAAAAAUUGCCAUUUGGAGAGGGAGUGGCCGAGAGCUUGGAGGAGAGAAAGAGGAGAAGUGAUUUUCGCCGUUUCUUGCCCGAUUGCUUCACCGUUCGUUGCUAAUCGAAGACAUCGAGGUUCGUUUGUGGAAACCUUGGGCUUGACUGAACAAGCUUGUGAGCGAGACCUGCACCGCGAGACUAGAACAACUCGAGACGUUCAACAGAUGAUUCAAGAAGGUUCGUCGUUCGGGGAGGACCCGGAGCGAAAUGACUACUACUGAGCCUUCGACGUGGACCCGGACUUCAUGGAAGAUCAGAUGAGGGUCGAAGAUAGUGGUGUAGGAUAUGGGUGGUUAGAGUUACUGAUUUUGGUUGUCAUGGUCAUAGCUCUGAUUCAUCAGUUGUAUUUUGGGGCAGGGUAGGUUCCCGACUAUUAGCUUUUUGUGUGAUUCUCUUCCAUGAGGAUCACAGGGAGUUUGUCGGGCGUAGGAAGUCUUUUGGAGGCCGUUUGGGGCUAAUUUAUUUUCUUGGAGGACUGUAGUUAUAAAGCUUGUGACUCUGACUAUGAGCCGCACUUAUUUGCCCGCGGGCACUACUUUCAAUUACUUAAUAUUACUUUCCGUCACUUGAGGACACUCGUGACGAUGUUUUUAGUUGCAGCAAGGGCUGUGCUUAUUUUGUAUAUUAAUCGCUGUUAAUUGCGAUUGGGUUGAGACCUUA
Long non-coding RNA from Lotus japonicus, 745 nucleotides. RefSeq lists it as uncharacterized. The record is from RefSeq and is a predicted model, not a curated record. The transcript is spliced from 3 exons. NCBI's taxonomy places the organism in Eukaryota, Viridiplantae, Streptophyta, Magnoliopsida, Fabales, Fabaceae.